Molecule: ribosomal RNA, 407 nt
Filed under: uncultured bacterium
Lineage: Bacteria
Description: partial 16S ribosomal RNA
Rfam family: Bacterial small subunit ribosomal RNA
Source: RNAcentral
GAUGAACGCUAGCUAUAGGCUUAACACAUGCAAGUCGAGGGACCGGCGCACGGGUGAGUAACGCGUAACCAACCUCCCCAUAACUAAGGGCUAACCCAGCGAAAGUUGGACUAAUACCUUAUGGUUAUGGAUGGGGUUGCGUGUGAUUAGCUUGUUGGCGGGGUAACGGCCCACCAAGGCAACGAACAGUAGGGGUACUGAGAGGGAGCACACCCGCACUGUAACUGGGCCCAGGUCCAAACUCCUACGGGAGGUAGGGGUGAGGAAUAUUGGUCAAUGGACGCAAGUCGGAACCGGCGCGUUAGCGUGCAGGAUGUCGGCCCAUGGGUUGUAAACUGCUUUUAUAUGGGUAUAGGUACCAUACGAAAAAGGACCGGCUAAUUCCGUGCCAGCAGCCGCGGUAAUAC